UACAUGUGGGGCAAGCGUUGUUCGGAAUCACUGGGCGUAAAGCGCACGUAGGCGGAUGUGUCAGUCAGGGGUGAAAUCCCGGAGCUCAACUUCGGAACUGCCCUUGAUACAGCACGUCUUGAGUCCGGAAGAGGUGGGUGGAAUUCCUAGUGUAGAGGUGAAAUUCGUAGAUAUUAGGAAGAACACCGGUGGCGAAGGCGGCCCACUGGUCCGGUACUGACGCUGAGGUGCGAAAGCGUGGGGAGCAAACAGG
This 253-nucleotide ribosomal RNA is filed under the name uncultured bacterium. RNAcentral describes it as "partial 16S ribosomal RNA". It matches the Rfam family "Bacterial small subunit ribosomal RNA", at positions 524 to 776 of the family's 1533-position model. The record is from RNAcentral.